CUCAGAUCUCGGGACCAUCUGGAAGUGCACAGCUACUGUACAUGCUUAAACGUUGGGCCUAACCUUAUCAACCAUAUCAAAACACAUAUAUGACACUUAAAACAGAAAUUAAUUUGUCAGAGCAUCUGUGGAGCUUGAGAAUAGAGCUGUAGAUCUGCAGGGUGGUUUGAGUCAUGAGGAGAAGUGUGAAAUGACAUCAAGCCCUGUUACUUGCACUUUUUCUAUUUGGAUGUUACCAACGCAAUAGGGCAAACUCAACUAAGUAACACACAUGCAAUGUAGACAUGUAAAAUACACAUGAUCCCCCCUCAAACACACACACACUCAUACAUACAUACAUACACAACCUCUUACUCAUGGAAUUGUCUCUCUCUGUGAUGUGCAGGUAACGUUGAUGUGGAUACACAGGCAUUUGCAAAUGAACAUUCUGACACUUACCAUGUAUACAGCUCAAUCCCCGACAGACCAGCAACCUCAGCCCAGCCGGAUGGGUUGUACAGUCUUCUGUAGACACACUGAAACUACACCACUGGCUCUCUGUAGCUAUGUCUCACACAAAUACAUUCUUUCUCACAUGAUAUCCUUUGUUUAUCACACAUCCAGUUACUGUAAAUAAGUUGCUUAACAGGUAAUAUAUCUACUGUAUUACACAUAGACAACUGGUUUCUGCUACAUGUCUAUCCAUAAUAUCUGUUACUGUGUUCAUAUUUUUAUUUUGGGGUUUUUGGAGGGGUCCGGGGCAUACUCUCCUUUGAGCAUUUUUCUUAUUUCUUUUCCCUAGUAAAUGCUGAAUCUACUGUA
Non-coding RNA from Salmo salar (Atlantic salmon), 801 nucleotides. The record is from RefSeq and is a predicted model, not a curated record. Lineage: Eukaryota; Metazoa; Chordata; Actinopteri; Salmoniformes; Salmonidae.